RNAcentral lists this long non-coding RNA (147 nucleotides) under Cercocebus atys (sooty mangabey). RNAcentral describes it as "lncRNA (ENSCATG00000045547.1)". Lineage: Eukaryota; Metazoa; Chordata; Mammalia; Primates; Cercopithecidae. The record is from RNAcentral.
UAUGAGGAGUGCCCUGCAUUCAUUAGAGGAAUGGCAAGCCUGCGUGGCUCUUGACGUAGACAAAAUUAACAAGGAUCAAGAGGAGCUAGUCGACCAAGACCCACCAUGCCGCAGACUGAGGCAGGAGCUGCUAGAGGUGGAGGAGCA